UACGUAGGGGGCGAGCGUUGUCCGAAGUUACUGGGCGUAAAGCGCGCGUAGGCGGACCUGCAAGUCGGGGGUGAAAGCCCGAGGCUCAACCUCGGAACUGCCUUCGAUACUGCGGGUCUCGAGUCCGGGAGAGGUGAGUGGAAUUCCUAGUGUAGAGGUGAAAUUCGUAGAUAUUAGGAAGAACACCAGUGGCGAAGGCGGCUCACUGGCCCGGUACUGACGCUGAGGCGCGAAAGCGUGGGGAGCAAACAGG
RNAcentral lists this ribosomal RNA (253 nucleotides) under uncultured bacterium. Its description in RNAcentral is "partial 16S ribosomal RNA". It matches the Rfam family "Bacterial small subunit ribosomal RNA", at positions 524 to 776 of the family's 1533-position model. The record is from RNAcentral.